UGUCCGGAAAACUCAUCUCACUGUCGUAGGACAUAUGUCCGGACGAAUGUCCAGUCUCGGACACCAGUGAUGUCUGGCUCAGAGGACGACUCAUGUCCGAUAGCGAAGACUUGCUUGGACUUGUAGCUCCUGCCGAGGAAAACCACGUGACAGCUGACAAAGGCUCUGACGAAUUCAUGAACUGGGGCGUACGCGGGCGUUAGCAAGUUGCAGUCAAAGCAUUCAGAAGCUGAACGAGGGCGUGGUCCCUCAGGGGCGUACGCACGAUUUUAGCAAGUUGCAGUCAAAGCAUUCAGAAGCUGAAUGAGGGCGUGGUCCCUCAGGGGCGUACGCGGGCGUUAGCAAUUUGCAGUCAAAGCAUUCAGAAGCUGAAUGAGGGCGUAGCCGCUCAUCCCGCACCCCCGUGAAGAUUUCAUAGCUCCCGCUUUUGGGUUUGAAAUUGGCGUCAAUGCAUCAGACUUUUGAGAAUAUUACACGAUCCUCUGUCAUCCUCGACCUGAAAUAGGACUUCAGUCGUCGCGUGGCACUGAACGACAUAUUAACAUGUUUGGAAAUCAUUCUGUGGACUACCAUGAUUAAGAAAUUAUAGUUUUUAUCCUCAUCAUAUAUAUAAAACUACGUACAUAAAAAUGAAUAAGUAAACAUUUGAUUAUUUGCCCUCGUUAUGCAAAUAAGAUCGCCAAAUUUUUGCAGUCCAGUGACUGCAGGCCUAUAGGCUGCGUACGCCCCUGAUGAAAGCUUUUGAAUGGCCCUUACCCUCCGUCUCCUCCUCCACGUGUUCUAGCGUCUUAUGUUCCUUGCCCACCAGUCUUCCAAUCAUCUUGCGGAUCCCUCCGGUCACUCCCAGCAUGUAGCUGUGCUGCUUCUUGGGACUCACUGGCUCUCCUUGCUGGCUCUUCUUACUGCUUUCACUGUCAUCGUGUUGGAAGGCCUUGGUUGGCGACAACAUGGAAAUAUCUGCAAGAUCAGAGUUACUUAACGCUACAUUUCUCUGGACCUGACAUGUGUGACCUUUUUAUAUUUUUCCAGUAUUGAAAUGUUUAAUCAUUUUAGUAAAAAAAUAUUAUUAUUAUUAUUAUUAUUAUUAUUAUUAUUAUUAUUAUUAUUAUUAUUAUUAUUAUUAUUAUUAUUAUUACUAUUAUUAUUAUUAUUAUUAUUAUUAUUAUUAUUAUUAUUAUUAUUAUUAUUAUUAUUAUUAUUAUUAGCAAUAUUAUUAUUAUUAUUAUUAUUAUUAUUAUUAGUAAUGGAUUAUAUUAUACUCGGGCAAUAAAAGUGAGCUGUUUUUAUUAUUAUUAUUAUUAUUAUUAUUAUUAUUAUUAUUAUUAUUAUUAUUAUUAUUAUUAUUAUUAUUAGGAGGUGAGUUGGAUUUCUCACUGAAGCUUGUGGAUCCAGAGUCAUUAAGGACACCUGAUUAUUGGCGUGGUUGUACCUUUGUCUUCGUCGGUGAAGCCAAGGCAUGUAUCGAUGAGCUGUAGCAUAUAGCCUGUACUCAGUAACACACCCUCCUGCGUGCUAUGGGACGUCAUGUAAUCCUUCACCUGUUAACAUCACAGUAUUUGAUGAGAGUCGCAGGGCGAAUAUGUUUUUUUAGCCUGAUAUGAGAAUAGUAGCAGCUGUUAGAACAGCGACGUAAAAAAAAUGGAACUUAUUCAAGACUUUAGUAACUGCAAGUGAAUAUUCUGCCUAAAGCACCGUUUUUCUUCACCAAUUCAUAACAAGAAAAUACCUAGUUUCCCGUUUCAUUGAGAGCGUGGACUACUGCUCGACUACUGCAUAUGUAUAAGCUCAGAAAAUCUCUAAGCAGCUGCUUUCGAUUUAAAACUUAUUACUCUUACAGGCUUUAUUAAAACUAGAUUAAGUGGC
This is a long non-coding RNA of Nematostella vectensis (starlet sea anemone), 1863 nucleotides long. RefSeq lists it as uncharacterized. The record is from RefSeq and is a predicted model, not a curated record. The transcript has 3 exons. Lineage: Eukaryota; Metazoa; Cnidaria; Anthozoa; Actiniaria; Edwardsiidae.